GGAACAAGUGAUGUUUUCUGAGGCUCCUUAAAGAAUGUAAUAUGAAGGAGGUUCCUUGGGAAACUAGUGCAAAUGACGUGUGCUAAAGGAAUGGAAGUGCAAUGUAGAGAAUGAACUUGCCCAGGAAGAACAAAGGGAACCCAUUAUUCUUCCAGCCUCUCUUGUUCCUCAGUGAAAAGAUUUCAGAAGAUUGUGGCCGAGACAUCAGCCACAGUGCAGAAGAGUCAUCAGAGUUUGGAAAUGCCGUGACAUUUGCAGAUUUUAUCACUAGCUGACAUGUGACGCUGCUCUGUCCUCAGGGUAUGGUCCCUGGGAGGGCAGGGCUAUUGGAGUGAGCAUACCUGGAGGCCCAUUACAAAUGCAGCAUACUGGGAUUUGCUGGCAGCUCUUUGGAACCAGUAAGAGGUCAACAUGUACCGGGCGUCAGAGCUGUGUUCCAAAGGGGAUAGUGGCCACACCCCGUUCCAGACCGGAACUCCUCAAAGCAACAGCUUGUGUGCAGCAAGGAAAGUGGCAUUCUCCUGAUACGAGUCCUGGAAUCACUAGGAAGAACAGUGUGUCGAUUUCUCACACAUGGAUCAAAUCGUUUUUGGUUAAGUGGCUGAGGCUGGCUGCUUCCAUGCCUGUCUCCCAAUUUUCUUCCCUCUGUUUGUGCCUUGUAAACCUGUGUGUCACCAAGCAGCCCUGGUUGCUCAUUUUCAACAGAUCCCACAGGGUCAAAACUACUGGGGUGUGGGGGCCCUUUGGCCUGUGCCUUUGGAGGAGUGGUUUGGGCCCCAGAUUCCAUACAUGGUAAUUCCAUCCACCCCACAGCCAAGGACACAUCAGGAGUGGCAGUUGUUUUUAGUAACAUCUUUCUGACAUGGAAAUGUCAAAGAUGUCACUGACUGACAGUUUAGUUAAGAGUUCACAGAAUAUGUAUUGAACUCAGGCCCUCAGUGCACUGUUUUCUGCUACCAAAGCCC
Molecule: long non-coding RNA, 965 nt
Filed under: Chinchilla lanigera (long-tailed chinchilla)
Lineage: Eukaryota; Metazoa; Chordata; Mammalia; Rodentia; Chinchillidae
Description: lncRNA (ENSCLAG00000028448.1)
Source: RNAcentral